Molecule: ribosomal RNA, 557 nt
Filed under: uncultured bacterium
Lineage: Bacteria
Also listed under: 1 other name
Description: bacterial SSU rRNA
Rfam family: Bacterial small subunit ribosomal RNA
Source: RNAcentral
ACGGGUGAGUAACGCGUGGGAAUCUACCCAUCUCUACGGAAUAACGCAUGGAAACGUGUGCUAAUACCGUAUACGUCCUUCGGGAGAAAGAUUUAUCGGAGAUGGAUGAGCCCGCGUUGGAUUAGCUAGUUGGUGGGGUAAAGGCCUACCAAGGCGACGAUCCAUAGCUGGUCUGAGAGGAUGAUCAGCCACACUGGGACUGAGACACGGCCCAGACUCCUACGGGAGGCAGCAGUGGGGAAUAUUGGACAAUGGGCGCAAGCCUGAUCCAGCCAUGCCGCGUGAGUGAUGAAGGCCCUAGGGUUGUAAAGCUCUUUCACCGGUGAAGAUAAUGACGGUAACCGGAGAAGAAGCCCCGGCUAACUUCGUGCCAGCAGCCGCGGUAAUACGAAGGGGGCUAGCGUUGUUCGGAUUUACUGGGCGUAAAGCGCACGUAGGCGGACUAUUAAGUCAGGGGUGAAAUCCCGGGGCUCAACCCCGGGACUGCCUUUGAUACUGGUAGUCUUGAGUUCGAGAGAGGUGAGUGGAAUUCCGAGUGUAGAGGUGAAAUUCGUAGA